RNAcentral lists this ribosomal RNA (643 nucleotides) under uncultured soil bacterium. Its description in RNAcentral is "bacterial SSU rRNA". It matches the Rfam family "Bacterial small subunit ribosomal RNA", at positions 153 to 771 of the family's 1533-position model. The record is from RNAcentral.
GAAACGGCUUGCUAAUACCGCAUAAUGCAGCGGCUCGACAUCGAGACAGUUGUUAAAGCGGGGGACUCCUUCGGGAACCUCGCGCCUAAAGAGGAGCCUGCGGCAGAUUAGCUAGUUGGUAAGGUAAUGGCUUACCAAGGCUUCGAUCUGUAGCCGGCCUGAGAGGGCGGUCGGCCACACUGACACUUAAAUACGGGUCAGACUCCUACGGGAGGCAGCAGUCGGGAAUUUUGGGCAAUGGGCGAAAGCCUGACCCAGCAACGCCGCGUGAAGGAUGAAAUCCCUCGGGAUGUAAACUUCGUAAGAACGGGAAGAAUAAGUGGGGGACAAUACCCCCCAUGAUGACGGUACCGUUUGUAAGCUCCGGCUAACUCCGUGCCAGCAGCCGCGGUAAUACGGGGGGAGCAAGCGUUGUUCGGAUUUACUGGGCGUAAAGGGCGCGUAGGCGGUCAGCGCAAGUCAGUUGUGAAAUCUCUGGGCUUAACUCAGAACGGUCAACUGAUACUGCGCGACUAGAGUGCAGAAGGGGCAACUGGAAUUCUCGGUGUAGCGGUGAAAUGCGUAGAUAUCGAGAGGAACACCUGCGGCGAAGGCGGGUUGCUGGGCUGACACUGACGCUGAGGCGCGAAAGCUAGGGGAGCGA